This 497-nucleotide ribosomal RNA is filed under the name uncultured bacterium. RNAcentral's name for it is "partial 16S ribosomal RNA". It matches the Rfam family "Bacterial small subunit ribosomal RNA", at positions 335 to 856 of the family's 1533-position model. The record is from RNAcentral.
UUUCUUACGGGAGGCAGCAGUGGGGAAUCUUAGUCAAUGCGCGCAAGCCUGAUCUAGCCAUGCCGCGUGGACGAUGAAGGCCUUAGGGUUGUAAAGUCCUUUCACCUGGGAAGAUAAUGACGGUACCAGCAGAAGAAGCMCCGGCUAASUCCGUGCCAGCAGCCGCGGUAAUACGGAGGGGGCUAGCGUUGUUCGGAWUUACUGGGCGUAAAGCGCACGUAGGCGGAUUAUUAAGUGAGRGGUGAAAUCCCAGGGCUCAACCUUGGAACUGCCUCUCAUACUGRUAGUCUUGAKUUCGAGAGAGGUGRGUGGAAUUCCGAGUGUAGAGGUGAAAUUSGUAGAUAUUCGGAGGAACCCCARUGGCGAAGGCGGCUCCCUGGCUCGAUACUGACGCUGAGGUUCGWAAGCGGGGGGAGCAAACACGAUYAGAUACCCWAUCUCCUGCUCUAGCAGAAUGMCAGUCGUCGGGCAGUAUUCUVUUCRGUGACACASCUAAC